This 332-nucleotide ribosomal RNA is filed under the name uncultured bacterium. RNAcentral describes it as "bacterial SSU rRNA". It matches the Rfam family "Bacterial small subunit ribosomal RNA", at positions 568 to 898 of the family's 1533-position model. The record is from RNAcentral.
CGUGUAGGCGGCCAUGCAAGUCGGGUGUGAAAGCCCUCGGCUUAACCGAGGAAGUGCGCCCGAAACUACAUGGCUUGAGUACCGGAGAGGGUGGCGGAAUUCCCGGUGUAGAGGUGAAAUUCGUAGAUAUCGGGAGGAACACCAGCGGCGAAGGCGGCCACCUGGACGGAUACUGACGCUGAGACGCGAAAGCGUGGGGAGCAAACAGGAUUAGAUACCCUGGUAGUCCACGCCGUAAACGAUGAGCGCUAGGUGUUGUGGGUGUUGACCCCCGCAGUGCCGCAGCUAACGCAUUAAGCGCUUCGCCUGGGAAGUACGGCCGCAAGGCUAAA